CUGAAGUCUUCCGAGGGCGACUCUGCUUUAUGAAGACAGUUUGAGUAUUUGUGAGGAUAAUGAAGACAUCAGUCUCCUGGCAUCAGCAUCACAGGCGCUCUACAGGCGCUCAGGUGCGUGUUUGUCUGAAUCACCCGGAGCUGCUGUGUCCCUGUGUAGGGUGAGUGACACACAUCAGUCAGACAAUACUUCAUCAAUCUGUUAGUAUGUGAUUUCGACUUGAUUUGAUUUCCACUGAUAUAGUCAGCUUGAUUUAGUCAUAUCUAUCUAUCUAUCUAUCUAUCUAUCUAUCUAUCUAUCUAUCUAUCUAUCUAUCUAUCUAUCUAUCUAUCUAUCUAUCUAUCUAUCUAUCUAUCUAUCUAUCUAUCUAUCAUCUGUUUAUGUGCAGGUAUUUGACAUGUUGUUUAGUGUUGUGUGAGACAGUGACCCUCUGGGUUCAUGAAUGUGUUCAUUUAGUGGAGGAGACAGACGCCCCCUCUCUGCGCUCGCUCCUGUUACACCCUCUCCUUCAGUUCUGCCCUGUCACACGUUCAGCUCCGAAACAUUGUGCAUCUAAAGGAUUGUUGGAGGGGCUUUUCUCUGAACAUUCAUUGCCAGCAGUGCUUUAUAACUUACAAUUUUAAUGCAUGUAAAAUUGUGAAUUGAAAAUGCAUAAUGCAAGCAAAUCCAUGUAAAAAUGAGUAAUGAUAAUGAUAUAUAUAAAGCAAACAAAAUAUGCAUUAAAAAAGGUCUAAAAUUAAUUGCAUCUUUAUUGUUUCAUAGCAUGAAUUGAUUUGAAGUUAAAUGUGUAAGAAAAAAACAAAAAAAACAAUGCACUGUAAAAAAGUAAAAAAAAAAAUUGUGCACUAUAAAAAAAGAACUAAUUUUUGGAUCAGGUUUUACAAGAAAAUACUAUUUCGGUCUUUCUAUUUUAAAAUCUCACUUUUAAUGUGAUGCAUUGUUUGCCAUUUCUCAUUUGUGAAAUUUACUUGCAAGUUCUGAGUGAAAAUUGUUUCUACAUCAUUUAUUUAUUCAUUUAUAUAUAUAUAUUUUCCUUCUUCAGUAUGCAUGUCAUUUUCCUGUAUGAACUGCUGGGGUCCCUGUCCUGUGUUGCUAGUUAAUUUUGGUAGUCAUUAUAAAGCACACUUCGCCACACACAACAGUGUAUUUCAUUAUCAGAAUUAUCACAUCUUCAUGUGUGUGUGUGCAUCGCCUGUCCGACUCUUCACAGAUCCACCUCUGUGCAAAUACAGCAUGCACAUGCAUUACAUGCGGUGGUGAUUUCUCAUCUGUACUUAUUAAUUAUGCAUUUACCCAACAAACCUGUUCCAUUCACAGAUGCAUUUUAAUGUGAGUGACAGCUGUACAGGCCGAGCGUAGAGAGAGUGAUCUCAAAGUCUCUCAAACAGAUGAACUGAGCUGUUGUCUGCUGUAUACAGGAGCACGCUGGGCUACCGACUGCGCAGAUACAGAUGCCGUAUGCAUCAAAUAGCUAUUGAUUUCCACACGUAGCACUUGUUCUGUGCAGAGGAAGGACUCUGAACACUAGUGAUCUGAUUAUUAGCAGACUCUCUUCAUUUGCACACAUCGAACGAGAGACGCUCGGCGAAGAGAGAGAUGAUUCUGAGCAUCUCUCGGUAAAGAGGUCAGGUCUCCAGUGAGGAUGGAGUAGCAGUGCCACAUUUGCCACAUUUUUUACUAUUUUGAUGCUCUGGCUUUCUAAAGGCGGAGAAGAAAACGGAAAGCAUUCUCAAUUAAUUCUGACAGAGUUCACAGAGAGAGAGAGAGAGGUAAAGGUCUGUUAAAAUAGGAAACUCUGCCUCCAGAAACACAGCUUAUUGUUUCUGUGGAAUUAAUAAUUGACGGUUGUUAAAUGAAUAAUUUAUCACGAACCGGAAUAAUUGUUGUAUCUCUAAUCUUGACACACAUUUGCAUAUGAAUCUUGUAAAUCUGCUGCUAUGUGCUGUAUAAACUUUGCAGGGGUGUGAAAUUUAAUUUAUCCUCUCAAAUAAAACGUGACUUUCUCCUGCAGGAUUCGGCCCUCUUGUGGAAGUGUGUGUGUGUGUGUGUGUGUGUGUGUGUGUGUGUGUGAUUCUUCACAUUUUCCUGUUUCUAUUUUAAAAUCCGCUGUGAGGAAGAGCAAACUGUUUCAUAUUACAUAAGACAAGUUAUUCACUAUCAAAUGCAAUGUCAUAAUAUGUGAUAAAUAUACAACUUAAAAGUGCAUUAUAAAACAGGUCCUUCCGCUCCUGGAUGCUGAUUGGUCAAUUACUCAUUCAAAAAUACACAAUAAAACAACAUGGAACUGACUGGAUGCCACUUCACAUAUUUGCAUAAACAUUAAAUAAAUUUGAAUCUGAAUAAAUAUCUCUGUCCUUAAUAUUUUCAUUAAGUACUAACGGUUGUCAAUUCAAUAAAACAGUUGAGUGUUGAAUUGCGAAUAUUGGUGAAUACUCUUUCUUUUCCGUCAGGUUCAGACCGACAGCAGCGCUUCAAGACAGUCAUCUCAGAUCCUCCACAGCGUUCAGAUCGCAGCCGAGACGCAAAAAGAGCAAAUCAACAAAUAUUUAUAUUUAAAAGUGUUGUGCGAAUAAAUGCAGUCAUCACUGUGACAAUGAGCCCGACUGUCUCUCUCUCUCUCUCUCUCUUUCUCUGUCUGUCUAUCUCCCUCUCUCUCUCUCUCUCUCUCUCUCUUAACCAGGCGGGAGAGUUGGUUGUGUUUGAUCUGGGCUUGUGUUGAAGUAAAAGAGCAUCUUAUACAAUUGACGGCUACAAUUAGCUGCCGAUCAGAGCAGCGGAGGACAACACUUACUCUCGUAUUUACAUGUCGUCGCUGUCUGACAGCAGAAGCAGACAGGAGUUGUGUGCUGUUGACAGGCCUGUGGGGAAGAAGGACGUUUGUCCCCAGCGCUUCUUCAGGGUCCACGAGGAGAUCUGAGCGCUCAGCUUUCUGUGGAGUUCCUGUUUGGACACCAGCUGAAGGACACAGAUAAACUCACUGCCUUCAAACUCCAGCAAAGAAAUGAACUUCACUCCCAAAACACAGCACAAGACACGACUGGGAACACACUCAUUAGACUCAAACUUUGACUUUCUAUAACACACACACACACACACACACACACACCUCUCUGCUUUCCUUUGUCUAUGCACUGCUACAGACCGACACACAAACUAUUGAAACUAAACUGCAAAAACAUUUUAUAGAGCAUGAAAUGAUU
Molecule: long non-coding RNA, 3200 nt
Organism: Carassius auratus (goldfish)
Lineage: Eukaryota; Metazoa; Chordata; Actinopteri; Cypriniformes; Cyprinidae
Exons: 3
Source: RefSeq, a predicted model, not a curated record